GAUAGGUUUCCAUGAAUGGAAACAUUGAUCCGGAUUUGAUAUGCCAGCGGUUAAUGGCAAUGCAGAUUCCACAAGAUAAUUACUUUACGAUGAGAAUUUCAUACAAGUUUAACGUGCUGCCACUGCACUCCAAAUAAUCUAAACGUUGUUUCCACCUGAAUUUUCAGGUACAUUUUACGUGCACACGUAACUGCAAAUGCUUCAGAAAAUUCAGGUGAAACUUACGUGUCCGGUGAACUCUAUCCAAAACUCAGGUAGAACUUACCUGAUUUUCACGUAGAAUGAAAAUUCUAUCAAAAAAUCAGGUGAAAGUUACGUGAAUUUCAGGUGGACAAGAUCUACGUACUUUUUCAGGUGGAAACAACGUGCAGAUUUUUUUGGGUGUGGCGCUGCAGAUUACUCAGAUUGCGGGAAACCUGAUGAACCGAACUUUACCCGGGUGUUGGACCGAGAAAAACGAAUUCUUCCUGCAUGCAUUUACCGAAAAGGACUACAUCGCGCCGGAUAAGGCUCUCAGAGCUAGAAGAUUUUAAUCAAGAGAAACCGGAAGCGGCUGCUGAUCGCAGCAAACCUGAAAAUAAGGCGGCAUACUCCGGCGGCCUUGUGUUGGAAACGAUAAAAGGAUUCUACGGCAAAUUUAUCCUGCAAAUGGAUUACAGCUCCCUUUACCCCAUAUCAUCCGGUCCGGGAGUACCACAUUUCAUUCACUACGGUGCUAUCGCCGACGACCGAUGCAGUAGAUGGUGAGAACGCCAGCAAUCAGAUCCUCCAAACAAGCGAAAUGGGAAUAUUGCCCUGUCAAAUUCUCAAACUCGUCGAGAGCAGAAAGUCAGCGAAACAACUAAUGAAAGCACCUGGUCUGUCACCGGAACUUAACAUGCAGUGCAACAUUUACCAGAUGGUGCUCAAGCUUCCGGCUUCCGGUUGGCGCUACACUAGAUCCUGAUUCUAUGCUCAGCACAUGGCCGCUCUGACCACACUAAAAAGUCGGGAAAUUCUUAUGGGGAACCAAAAGCAUCGUGGAAAAACUGAAUUAUCAGCUUAUCUAUGGCAACACGAUCAACACCAACAGCAUCGAUUGUGACGAGCUGUUCAAGAUCGAUGCUAACAACAAGCACAUCGUCAAUAAAACAUUCAAAUGCUUGGAUCUGAACGUACUACAAGUAGAAAAAGAAGUACCUACGCGGCUGUUUCGAUAGCCAAGAUCUGGGAAAAAUUCGAAUGCACGCAUGCAUGACUUGCAUAACUGCAGUUAUAGAACGUCUAUGUAGUGGUAGAGACUUGGAAAAAUCAUUAUCAGCAGAUUUGUGUUUUUAUAACAGCGAUCGUGUAAAGACUUUCUAGGCUAGGUUUUUUUAAUCAAUGGCUAAGAAGGGCCCCUAGUAGAAUCCAUGUUUGAGACGAAUAUUUGCUCGACUGGGAAUACUGUCGUCCGGUCAAAUUACUGCUACAUAUCGCCAUCGACGAACUGGACUUACUGUUAAGGUGCAAGCGCAACAUCUACACUGCUCGCCUCACUAUUCCAACCAGUUCUCAGCAUUGGGGCCCUUUUCAAUGCACUGGACAAUAUAUGCGGAUUUGAGACGCGGGCACUUGGAGACCGCUGUUCCAUUUUGGCUGUCGUACAACUGACACAAAUUCUUAUUUGAGCUACAAAACUAUUUUUACCAAUAACAUAAUAUAUACAUAUUAUAAAUAAAUAAAUAAUUUCAA
Molecule: long non-coding RNA, 1713 nt
Organism: Armigeres subalbatus
Lineage: Eukaryota; Metazoa; Arthropoda; Insecta; Diptera; Culicidae
Exons: 4
Source: RefSeq, a predicted model, not a curated record